RNAcentral lists this ribosomal RNA (254 nucleotides) under uncultured bacterium. Its description in RNAcentral is "partial 16S ribosomal RNA". It matches the Rfam family "Bacterial small subunit ribosomal RNA", at positions 524 to 776 of the family's 1533-position model. The record is from RNAcentral.
UACAGAGGGUGCGAGCGUUGUCCGGAAUCAUUGGGCGUAAAGGGCGCGUAGGUGGCCACUUCAAGCGUGCGGUGAAAGCUCGGGCUCAACCCCGAGUCGGCCGUGCGAACUGGGCUCACUGGAGCAUAGUAGAGGCAGGUGGAAUUCCGGGUGUAGCGGUGGAAUGCGUAGAGAUCCGGAAGAACACCGAUGGCGAAGGCAGCCUCCUGGGCUAGUACUGACGCUCAUGCACGAAAGCGUGGGGAGCAAACAGG